This 254-nucleotide ribosomal RNA is filed under the name uncultured bacterium. Its description in RNAcentral is "partial 16S ribosomal RNA". It matches the Rfam family "Bacterial small subunit ribosomal RNA", at positions 524 to 776 of the family's 1533-position model. The record is from RNAcentral.
CACGUAGGGGGCAAGCGUUGUCCGGAUUUACUGGGCGUAAAGCGCGCGCAGGCGGCUCUUUAAGUCUCAGGGUGAAAGACCGGGGCUCAACCCCGUGUCAGCCCGGGAUACUGGGGAGCUAGGGACAUGUAGGGGCGAGCGGAAUUCCGGGUGUAGCGGUGGAAUGCGUAGAGAUCCGGAAGAACACCGGGGGCGAAGGCGGCUCGCUGGGCAUGGUCCGACGCUGAGGCGCGAAAGCGUGGGGAGCGAACAGG